AGGAGUUUGAUCCUGGCUCAGAUUGAACGCUGGCGGCAUGCCUAACACAUGCAAGUCGAACGGAAACGAUGGGAGCUUGCUCCCAGGCGUCGAGUGGCGGACGGGUGAGUAAUACUUAGGAAUCUACCCAGUAGCGGGGGACAACUCGAGGAAACUCGAGCUAAUACCGCAUACGCCCUACGGGGGAAAGCAGGGGGUCUUCGGACCUUGCACUAUUGGAUGAGCCUAAGUCGGAUUAGCUUGUUGGUGAGGUAAAGGCUCACCAAGGCGACGAUCCGUAGCUGGUCUGAGAGGACGAUCAGCCACACUGGGACUGAGACACGGCCCAGACUCCUACGGGAGGCAGCAGUGGGGAAUAUUGGACAAUGGGGGCAACCCUGAUCCAGCAAUGCCGCGUGUGUGAAGAAGGCCUGCGGGUUGUAAAGCACUUUCAGUAGAGAAGAAAAGCCUACGGUUAAUACCCGUGAGUCUUGACGUUACCUACAGAAGAAGCUCCGGCUAACUCCGUGCCAGCAGCCGCGGUAAUACGGAGGGAGCGAGCGUUAAUCGGAAUUACUGGGCGUAAAGCGCGCGUAGGCGGCUUUGUAAGUCGGAUGUGAAAGCCCUGGGCUCAACCUGGGAAUGGCAUUCGAUACUGCAGAGCUAGAGUAUGGUAGAGGGAAGUGGGAUUUCCGGUGUAGCGGUGAAAUGCGUAGAUAU
This 699-nucleotide ribosomal RNA is filed under the name uncultured bacterium. RNAcentral's name for it is "bacterial SSU rRNA". It matches the Rfam family "Bacterial small subunit ribosomal RNA", at positions 1 to 697 of the family's 1533-position model. The record is from RNAcentral.